This 487-nucleotide ribosomal RNA is filed under the name uncultured bacterium. RNAcentral's name for it is "partial 16S ribosomal RNA". It matches the Rfam family "Bacterial small subunit ribosomal RNA", at positions 28 to 507 of the family's 1533-position model. The record is from RNAcentral.
GAUGAACGCUAGCGAUAGGCUUAACACAUGCAAGUCGAGGGGCAGCACAAGGUAGCUUGCUAUCUGGGUGGCGACCGGCGCACGGGUGCGUAACGCGUAUGCAACUUGCCCUACACAGGAGGAUAACCCGUCGAAAGACGGACUAAUACUGCGUAUGCUCACAACUUGGCAUCAAGUGGUGAGGAAAGAAAUUCGGUAUAGGAUAGGCAUGCGUCCCAUUAGCUUGUUGGUGAGGUAACGGCUCACCAAGGCAACGAUGGGUAGGGGAACUGAGAGGUUUAUCCCCCACACGGGUACUGAGACACGGACCAGACUCCUACGGGAGGCAGCAGUGAGGAAUAUUGGUCAAUGGGCGCGAGCCUGAACCAGCCAAGUCGCGUGAAGUAUGACUGUCUUAUGGAUUGUAAACUUCUUUUAUACGUGAAUAACAAGAGUCACGGGUGACUCCCUGCAUGUACCGUAUGAAUAAGCAUCGGCUAACUCCGUG